Molecule: ribosomal RNA, 233 nt
Filed under: uncultured bacterium
Lineage: Bacteria
Description: partial 16S ribosomal RNA
Rfam family: Bacterial small subunit ribosomal RNA
Source: RNAcentral
UCCACGCCCUAAACGAUGGAUGCUAGUCGUUGGGGGGUUAAACCCCUCAGUGAUGCAGCUAACGCAUUAAGCAUCCCGCCUGGGGAGUACGGUCGCAAGACUAAAACUCAAAGGAAUAGACGGGGACCCGCACAAGCGGUGGAGCAUGUGGUUUAAUUCGAAAAUACGCGAAGAACCUUACCUAGCCUUGACAUUGAAGAAACACACUAGAGAUAGAGUGGUGCCCUUCGGGG